CAGAACCAACUACCGUAAACAUACAAGGAUAUCGUCGCCAACAUGUCCGGAGAGGGAUACAAAUUUGUACAAGAUGCUACAAACGAGUUGCACAAGAAACUCGACGACUUGGAGAAAAGGGCUGUUUGUCUGGGAGAACAAUACGACCACCUGUUAGACCGAGCCGGCAAACUAGAGCAGAGGACUAAUGAGUACAUGUUUAGGAUUGAGAAGGACAGAAAGAUGUCAGUCAUUGUGGAACUUCUCAUGCGGCGGGAUAAAAGGUCUGAGUUGUUAAUUGAUUAUGUUUGGGUGUUUUUCGAAGUUGUGUUGAGGAAGGUGAAGAGUUUAGGCGUUCCAGUAAACACCAUAAAAGAGCUUUGGUUAGGGUUACGGCAGAAAGCAACUGAAAAGUCCUUCACUGCCACAAUGGGGAAGCUUGGUUUUUCCAAAGCAGAGUUAGAUCCCGUCUUGCUUCUGUUUGAGGUGGUUCACGACAGAACAUUGGCUGAAUGUGGCGCGAGCAAAAGUUUGACUGAGACGAUUGUGAGAAGGAAACGGAACGAAGAAAACGAUGAGGACAAUUCGUGGAUGCGGGAUGCCGACGUUGCUAGUCUCAUCCUCUACUUGCAGAUACAAGACGAGCUACAGACGUCGGUGAGGGGAGCAUUGCGACGGGUAGUAGCUGUAGCUCACUGUGGCCUUAUGGGAGCAGACGAUACGGAAACAUGCCUGAAUCUUGGAAGUGUCCCGUCGCCAGAACUUGCAUCACACUUCCUCACGUCAACUCCUAAGAUAACCCCGAAAAUCAGGCGUUCUUCGUCCGCAGUACCAUUCAGCACAGAGUUACUGGACACCCCAACAUGCGUGCGACCUGUUCACAGUACCCAGAACGCCAAUACAGCUCAUCUCACUGACAGGUUAGAUUCGGCUAGUCUUACGUCUGGUAGUACUCCGUCUCCCAAACAAGAUGCUUCAGAACCGUCCGGAGCAGGGCAUUGUCGCGGUAGUCACCACUCAACGCCCAUGUCAGACACGUGUGAGACAUCAUGUGAUCACCAAUAUGACAGCCGCGUCUCUAUCCCAGACACGGAGGGCAAGUCUGAGUUGAAAUCCAAUGGCGAGCGUCGUGAAUCCGACACAGCAAUAGCCACGUUGAAAUGUGACAGUGUUUGCAACGCGUCUUCCAGUGCUGCCCAGGACAUGCUUGGCGAUAACGCAAGCAACAGGAGUGACAACAGAUAUGGAGGAGGGACGUAUGACACAAGCACAGGCUGUCAGAAAUGUGUGCGCUUCUCCCCUCAAACCGUGACCUCGGAAUGUGACUGUAACGAAUGAUGUCCCAGACCCCGAUCAAUCCAAUUCAAAAGGUGAAGUCCAAAACAAAAUACAGCUAGUCACAUUUGAACAAAGGAGGUCCAGUUUUGACCUUGAAUCUUCCUCCUCCCUUUGGGAUGACCAUACAACGAAUGUGUUAUUGUUUUAUUUAUCAGAGCGGCCUGUUGAAAGGACUAUCUGGCUGUUGUGACAACCAAAUCCCUCAGCCUGCCUGACUGCCUGACCCAUCUGGGGUUGCCUCUCACAUCUUGGGAUGUUUACUUUUUCAUUACACUUCAUUGCAGAAGAAUGGCACUCAUAAACUGCAUAUUGAAAAUCUCAUGGUAGCUAGUUGGGUAGAGUGGUCUUCAUUGUUGUUUUCCAUUCUGUCAUGUUUAAAACUGGCUGCCUACCCUCCCAUAAUAUUUGCUCAUUCUUACAAAUCGGCCUAUUUCCACAGCCUGCAAGAAGGCUCUUACCCAUGAUAACCUGUGUUAGUCCAGGAGAAGCCCAUAGCAACUCUUGCCUCUCUUGUGGCCAUUUUCACAACUGGCCCUCCAUACACAAAAUGGGCAUAGCUAUCAAUCUUGUCAGCUCAUGGGACAACAUCCAACCUCUAACAUCCAUACACAUAUGACAGAAGACUGUUAAAACACAUCCUACUAAGCUGAAACAUACUGUGAUUGAACACAGUUACAGUCCGUUUGGCUCAAAAGCAGACCGAUGAAUU
Haliotis rubra (blacklip abalone) is the source of this 2026-nucleotide RNA transcript. RefSeq lists it as uncharacterized. Lineage: Eukaryota; Metazoa; Mollusca; Gastropoda; Lepetellida; Haliotidae. The transcript has 2 exons. The record is from RefSeq and is a predicted model, not a curated record.